RNAcentral lists this ribosomal RNA (486 nucleotides) under uncultured bacterium. Its description in RNAcentral is "bacterial SSU rRNA". It matches the Rfam family "Bacterial small subunit ribosomal RNA", at positions 36 to 518 of the family's 1533-position model. The record is from RNAcentral.
CUGGCGGCGUGCCUAACACAUGCAAGUCGAACGAAGCAUAUCGGACGGAGAUUCGUCGAAGACUGGUAUGACUUAGUGGCGGACGGGUGAGUAAUGUAUGAGCAACCUGCCUUUCAGAGGGGGACAACAGUUGGAAACGACUGCUAAUACCGCGUAACGUAUUUAGGAGGCAUCUCUUGAAUACCAAAGGAGCAAUCCGCUGAAAGAUGGGCUCAUAUCUGAUUAGCUUGUUGGCGGGGUAACGGCCCACCAAGGCGACGAUCAGUAGCCGGACUGAGAGGUUGAACGGCCACAUUGGGACUGAGAUACGGCCCAGACUCCUACGGGAGGCAGCAGUGGGGAAUAUUGGGCAAUGGGUGAAAGCCCUGACCCAGCAACGCCGCGUGAAGGAAGAAGGUCUUCGGAUUGUAAACUUCUUUUAUGAGGGACGAAGGACGUGACGGUACCUCAUGAAUAAGCCACGGCUAACUACGUGCCAGCCGCCGC